GUUUUAGUUACGUAAAUAAGACAACUCUAGUACCGGCGAGUGAUGAGCCACAAGGCCAGAAAAUGGUAUUGUUAUCUCCAAAAUCUUAAUCCACUAGUCUCUAUGUUGUACGUAAAAGAUUGUAUGAUCAAAAUUCUCUCUGUUAACUAUUUGUAUGGCAACUCUUAACACCAUCAUCAGUCAUGGUGGUCAUGGAGUUCCUUCCUUCACCAUUAAAUCCAAAAAGGACUCCAGCUUUACUCGAGUUCUCCUACCGACCAAACUUUAUACCAAGUUAGACGCAGAAACCAGAAGAGGGGUCUUCUCUACUCGUAAAAGGAGAAACUGGGUCCUCCGUGCUAUCGUUGAGGAACAAGAACUGGCUCCGGGGAAGCCUAACGAGUCAAAGGAGGAAGAUAACGCCUUAUUGAGUGAUGGGUCUGAAAAAGUUGAGCCAUUUUCGUCUUUGUUACCCGUUUCAGUCGAUGGUGAAGAAGAUUGGGAUAGAUUGACCAGCAGGGCUAUAAACGCUGCUAUUGUUCUCGGAUUUGGGACCCUUGCUAUAACUAAGUUGUUCACCAUUGACCACGAGUACUGGCAUGGGUGGACAAUUUAUGAGGUUCUAAGAUAUGCACCCCAACACAAUUGGAUUGCCUAUGAACAAGCUCUCAAAGCAAAUCCUGUUCUGUCCAAAAUGGUAAUUAGCGGUGUUGUCUAUGCCAUUGGAGAUUGGAUUGCACAAUGUUAUGAAGGAAAACCAAUUUUUGAAAUUGAAAGAACACGCGUUUUCAGAUCAGGCCUUGUUGGUUUUACCCUCCACGGCUCCCUUUCCCAUUACUACUACCAAUUUUGUGAGGCUCUCUUUCCGUUCGAGGAUUGGUGGGUGGUUCCAGCCAAAGUUGCCUUUGACCAAACUGUAUGGGCUGCAAUUUGGAACAGCAUCUAUUUUUUCGUUUUGGGACUCUUACGUUUUGAAUCCCCGGUCAGUCUUUUGAAUGAACUGAAGUCAACAUUUUGGCCCUUACUGACUGCUGGCUGGAAGCUUUGGCCAUUUGCUCAUCUGAUUACCUAUGGUGUGGUCCCUAUUGAACAAAGGCUGCUUUGGGUUGACUGUGUGGAGCUAGUCUGGGUAACAAUACUGUCAACUUACUCAAACGAGAAGUCCGAAUCAAGAGUAUCCGAAACAUCAGUAAAUAUAGAUUCUGAUUCUUCAUCAAGCCACAACAAUGAAUCCAAGGACUAAAUUUGUUGGUACACCCGAUGAUGAUUUUCUAGUUUGGAUGAACAAUGUCAUCGUCUUCAUCUAUUAUAUAGUUUUCAAAACCGACCAAUUCUUUUAUGAACGGUGAGAGUAUUGCAAAGAAAAUAUGAUUUUUUCACUGCUUAAUGCAAUUGGAGUAGAUUGGAUGGAAGAGUGAAGAAAGAGGUAGGCCUUGCCAAGUUGUAAGUUAUGGUCUCAGGAGAAGAUUAUGUUUGGUAAAUUUGUUGUAUAAAGUUAUUUCCUACAUGCAUUAUACAUAUAUAUAAUUAUAUAUAUAUAUACGCACACAUAAAUGGGGAUAUGAUAUUUUUCAUAUACAAUCUAUCAGCUUUGCCAAAUUGUCUAUGGAACUUCCUGCGUACUGAAUAGCAGAAAUAGCAUAUUGAGAAACAUAUAACAGAAAGUAAAUAUAUACCUCUAUCAGAUUCAGAUGAUUUCUAUGUUCUUUCAUUGGUGGUAAUUGUCUAGAUCAAUAAUAUUGUCCUUUCUGGCUUGAAAUACGGCAACUUAAAUUCCAAAAAUUCCAAACGGCAUGUCGUUUUGGCUCCUCACAUUUAAGCUUUCAAUACUGCAUAGAAUGACGGUGAUAACUAAACUAUGAAGAAAUGAAUACAUAUACGUGGAACUGCUUUAAAAUUCAUAUAUGGAACCAGUAGCAAUUUUUUAUAUAUAUAUAUGGGAUAUUGGCGGCUAAACCACCUGAACUUUACGGUUUGUAACACUUAACCACAUAAACCGAAUUUUUGGCGGCUAAACUACCUAAACUCCCAUUCCGUUUUGCUCUGUACACCUCCGUCCAAAAAUCUCAGUUAAGUGCCACGGUGGACGAUCCACGUGUACACACUUGUACACGUGGCAAAUUUUUAAUGGUCCACGUAAUAUUAGUUUUAAAAAAUAAUUAUAAAUAUUUAAAAAAUUAAAAAAUCAGAUUAAAAAAUAAAAAAUCAGAAUUUUUUUUAAUAAUUUAUAUAUUAAAAAAAUACUUUAAAAAACAGAAAAAAAAUAAUUAAAAAAAUAAUUAUUAUUUUUUUUUAAUUCUUCUUCUUUUUUUUUCUUUCUUUUUCUUCUUCAUCUUUCUUCUGCUUCCUCUUCUUCUGCGUUUUUUUUCCAGAAAGCAAACCCCCCAAAAAGCCCAAGCCGUCCAUCCCCUACUACCAGUCCCCAUCUGCUGCUAAACCCAUAUACAUAUUUCUCUCUCUCUCACUCUCAGUCUCCACUCUGAAUGAAUACCCCUUUUCUUUGUUUUAAUUUUUUCAUUCUAUAAUAUUUCCCUUUCCUUUUCUCCAUUUCUAAACAAACAGAACAAAACAAUAUAUUUGUAAUUUCUAAUAAUAAUAAUAACAGCAAAUUAAUUGGGCUGGAGUGUCACAUUCAAUGCCAGUUCCACAACCCACAACUCUUUUUUUUUUUUUUUUUUUUUUUUUUUUUCAGAUCUGGGCCGAACUGUAAGAACCUGGAAAUGUAAUGGUAGUAGACCAAGUAGGAGACCGGAGACGACUCAGUUUGGUCCUCCCAGAUCCGUCGUCGUGGUUGUGCGAAAAUCGCCAUUAACGGCGUCGAGGGUGAGCUCGGGUGGGGGAGGGAAAUCGGAGUUUAGGGUUUCUUGGUUUGGGGAUUCCGAUUUUGUGGUCUGACUUUAGUGGGCUGGAGCUCUUGGUCCGUCGACGGUGCUGGCGGUGCAGAAGAGGAAGAUCGACAUUAUCAAGAGAGGAAGAGAGAGAUAAGGAUUUUGGAAGAAGAAGAAGCAGAAAAAAAAAGAAACAAAAAAGAAAAAGAAAGGAGAAAGGAGAUAAAAAAACGAAAAAAAGAAAAGAAAAAAAAUAAAAUAAUAUAUUUUUUUUAUAAUUUAUUUAUUUUUAUAAUUUUUAAAUUAUUUUUUAUAAUAUUUUCAUAAGUAAUAUUACGUGGACCAUUAAAAAUUUGCCACGUGUACAAGUGUGUACACGUGGACCGUCCACCGUGGCACUUAACUGAGAUUUUUGGACGGAGGUGUACAGAGCAAAACGGAAUGGGAGUUUAGGUAGUUUAGCCGCCAAAAAUUCGGUUUAUGUGGUUAAGUGUUACAAACCGUAAAGUUCAGGUAGUUUAGCCGCCAAUAUCCCUAUAUAUAUUUAUAGGGAACUCGUUAGUGAUACUUUUGCUCUCAAAAGCAUUUUUAUAACCUUUCAUUUUUAAUCUAAUGGUAGUAAUUUUUUUGUUAUAUCUUUAAUUACCACAAAAUAUCACACAUAAAAUUAUUUUUUUUACUCAUCUAUAUUCAAUCCACUACCUAGAUGAUACUCUUGCUAAUUUUAAAGAAAAUGUAGUUAUUAUAUAUUUUUUUUUAUUUCUACUAUUUUCUUUAAAAAAAAACUCAGAUACUUUUAUUUUAUUAAAAAAAAAAUUCUAGACACUUAACCCAUAGUAGUAGCUGCCAACCUCACUAAAAAAAUAAUCCUACACUUGUAUAGAUCAUAGAACACAAAACUCUUGUACAAUUUCGUUUUUAUAUAAUUAUCGACAUUGAAGAUUAUAUAAAUUCUAUAAAUUUGUAAGAUUAAUAAUGUUAUUAUUACAGUAAUUAUUAACAUAAAUAUAUCUUAUAUUAUUUAUAAGAAUAUAAUGCUCUUUUUACUGAAUUUAAGUAUCAAACUUUUUCUGAAAUUUGAUUUGCAAUGUUAAUUGACAGUUCAAGCGAAGGUAUUUGAAAAAAAUUUGAAACAAUUCCAAAAUCUAAAAUUCUAUUCUAAUUUCAAAAUCCUAUUCCUAUUGUGAUUAAAUGAUUUAAAGUAUAAAUUGUAAGUCAUGGUGUCUUGUCUUUUGACAUGCGAAGUUCGUAUUGGUUUUGGGUGUUCUGUUUUUUUCUUUUUUUGGUUCUUUGGCAGUGGUACCAUGGCACCAGACAUGGCUGAAGCUUUAGCCAUUAAAGAGGCGUUAAGUUGGAUCAAGAAUCAUGAAUGACAUAAUGUUGAACUCGAGUCCGAUUGUCUCUCAAUUGUCCAAACUAUUCGAAGUAACAUCACUAUGGUUUCGCCUCUUGGGGGAGUGGUGAUAGACUGUCAAAAGCUUCUAUCUAUUUUAAACACUGUUUCUUUGUUUUUUCAUCAAACAAUCUGCUAAUAUGACUGCGCACAGCUUUGUUAGAGCGUCAUAUUUUUUUCCAGAUCGAGUUUUCAGUGAGAGAGAUAUUCCUACUGAAUUACAAUCUUGUCUUUUGGCUAGCAAAUUAAUAAAAUUCUAACUUGCAUUCAAAAAAAAAAAAAAGUGAGUUGUUGUUAUACAAGGGAUGUACUUUUAUAGGGUGUAUUUAUAAAAAAUAAUAUUUAAAUAAAUAAAUUGAAGUGUAUUUAAAUUAGGGAUGUACUUAUAAAUUGUUAGGAUGUAAAUAUAAACUCCCUAAUAUUAAUUAUUUAAAUAUUAUAAAAAUAAAUUUUCUCUAUUUUUGUUUUCCUUGUUAUUCCAUUUCACCAAACCAAACGGUAAAUGUAGAUGCGAAAUAAAGUAUUGAACCCUCCAAGGUUCUGCAUUUGCGAAAAUAGCCCCAGAUCUGCAAAACUUGCUCCAAAUUGAACCCCUGUGCUUGGCCAGGCUUCGCUUAGAUCUUCAUCUGCUACACAAAAAUGGCGAAACUUGAAUUACUGGACCCGCAACCUGAACCAGACAAUAUCAACAUCAACCACAACACCAAAAACAAGAUGGCCAAGAAGAGGAACCAUGGCUCAACCAAGCUGUUUGUUUUUGUGGAUUACCUUUUCCUUCUCAUUUUUUUUGGCUUCUUCUACUUCGUGAUUUUCAAGAUAAUCCUUUCCUGAUUUUGAUUCAGGCUGGCCUUGUUGAGAGCUGCUUUCUUGUAUCUGUCUUCAUUUACUACAAGGCUUAAUGCAUUAUAGUUGAAUAUCAAUUAUGAUUACACAUUUUAUACCAGGGGAUUUUUUGUAUUGAAAAUUCCAUAAAAUCUUUCUCUUUAAGAUCUGAAUUAUGGGUAUGAACAUUUAAUUAUACAUUUGAAGAAAACUUUUGCUUAAGCUUGGCAUUGAUUGAAGUGAUCAUGGUAGACCUUUGGAGGUGAUUAUAACACACAACAUGUGGCAUUUUCUAAUACCAUGAUAUGAUAUAAAGGAAGGCUUGACCUGGAUGAAUUAGAGAUGUUUUGCCAGUUAAAGUGAGGUGGUUUUGUCAAAUGUUUACUAGGAAAGGUUGUGUUGUGUACUAUAUAGGAAAAAGAAUAUCUGAUCCUUUUUUUACUUUUUAGUGUUUGGAUAUUCAUGCACUAUACUCAGUGAAAGUCUAUGUCAUUCAUCAUGACAUGUACUUUAAUUUUGUUAUAUAUAUUUCUCAUUAAUGAGUGUGCUCAAUGUUAAGCUCCAUAAGUCAAGCUAUAUGAGGAUGCUCAUAGUUGGUUAUGUCAAGUCAUUUUUUAUGUGUUAGCAAAACUUGUACAUCUUUGUCUAAAGGAAAAAAAAAAUUGUACAUCUGGUCUCUUCAUAGGUAUCAUAAUCUUUGUUGACAAGCCCAAAUCAGCAAAUACUAAAUCAUGCUUAUUAAAACUCCUACUUUGGUCUGCUGCUUCUACUUGAUUACGAUGUAAAACUGCCUUGAUUUUGUCCAUUAUCAAAUAUUUCAACUUAUAAUCCAAUUGUUAUCAUUUAUUUUCCUGGUUGGGAUUUGACUUAUGAAGUCUAAGUUCGUAACAUGUAUCGAUCUUUCCCUUUAUUUCUUCAUUUGUACAAUCGGGAUAAAAUUAUAACUAUAUAAAUACAUUUGGUUUAGGGUUGAUUAAAUAUUGGUAGGUUUUGGUAAAUAUAGUGUAAACUUUUAACUUUCUGCGCUUCAAUAAUAGUUACUUUUUCUUAUCGCUAUUGAUUCUUACUGAUAUUUUGUUGUACAUUUUACACUAAAUAAUUAAUGACAUUAAUUUUAUUUUUGCAAUCAUUCAAACAAUUCAGAUUUUUAAUGUACUGUUAAAACUAAAAGUGAUGUUAUUAAUUUUGAUUACAGCAGAAAUAUAUUUACAUAAACACGAUGAAAGAAAAUAGUGAAUGAACACGAAAAAAUCAACAGGUUGACAUCUAAAAAUUUGUAAAACUUUUUUUUAAGUCUCCUUCUAUAAAUACUGAGUAAUAAAAUCAAGGUAUUAUGCUAUAAAUAACCAUGCCAUUCUUCUACAUCACUCUGUAUAUUAUUAGAAUGUCCCAUUUUUUCUUUGUGUGUGCGUGUGAGUAUUUUUAUUUUUGGCUGGAAACAACUUGAAAGCAUAUUCCCAUAUUGUUGAUGGAUUGGAUUUGGUAUUUUACUUCAAAAGAUAAAAGUAAAAUAAAAAUUCAUACAAAUGCAUAGAGAAGAUAAACACUGAUAUCAUUACAUAUUGCUAAGGAACAACACUACACAAAAGACCAUGAACUAAUCUUAACUACGGCACACUCAGACUCAAACUAACUUACUACCUUAUUAGAAAAGCAAUACAUUGAUCUAGACUCCUUAAACCUCAAAUACAGAGUGAGCAAACAAAAAGCUAUAGAUUGAUAGAUAACAGGGCUAUGAUUGUCAAGCCAAGCUAAAUUAAGAACAAGAGAUCAGCUAACAACAUGAUCAGGGGUUGCCAGUAGCAGUGACAGAGGCAGAGCCAGAAGUAGGAGCACCGCCGCGGCCAGGGAUGGGGACCUCAAAACCAGGGUUGGGGAUGAAUGUGUCAUCAGCACCAGGAAUGUACUUACGCUUUGGUCUGCCACUGAUAUCGCCAAUGACACCGCCAAUGACACCGCCAAUGUGUUUUGGAGGAGCAUAAGUGCCGGUGAUUGGAUUGUAGUUCUUGUAAGAGGGGUGUCCGAUACCAUGGCCGUGAGGUGGUGGCAGCAUUACACGUCCAAAGCCAGGAACCAGAACAGUGCCGUCGUGAUCAACCAGAUACUCGGGUUGUUUCUUGUCAACUACUGUCUUGGGAUUGUUUGGUACACUACGUGCUGCUGCAACUCCGUUAGCUAAGGCUAGUAAGAGAAGAGAAGCCAAGAGAAAGAGGGAGCAUUGGGUUUUGUAUGCCAUUUUCUUAAUUUUCAACCUUAAGUAUUGGAUGGAUGAAGAAAGAUGAGGAGAAUGAUUUGGU
RNA transcript from Cannabis sativa, 7319 nucleotides. RefSeq lists it as uncharacterized. The record is from RefSeq and is a predicted model, not a curated record. Lineage: Eukaryota; Viridiplantae; Streptophyta; Magnoliopsida; Rosales; Cannabaceae. The transcript has 9 exons.